UGGGGAAUAUUGCACAAUGGGGGAAACCCUGAUGCAGCGACGCCGCGUGAACGAAGAAGGUAUUCGUAUCGUAAAGUUCUGUCCUAUGGGAAGAUAAUGACAGUACCAUAGAAGAAAGCUCCGGCUAAAUACGUGCCAGCAGCCGCGGUAAUACGUAUGGAGCGAGCGUUGUCCGGAAUUAUUGGGCGUAAAGGGUACGCAGGCGGUUUAAUAAGUCGAAUGUUAAAGAUCGGGGCUCAACCCCGUAAAGCAUUGGAAACUGAUAAACUUGAGUAGUGGAGAGGAAAGUGGAAUUCCUAGUGUAGUGGUGAAAUACGUAGAUAUUAGGAGGAAUAUCAGUAGCGAAGGCGACUUUCUGGACACAAACUGACGCUGAGGUACGAAAGCGUGGGGAGCAAACAGG
RNAcentral lists this ribosomal RNA (403 nucleotides) under bacterium. Its description in RNAcentral is "partial 16S ribosomal RNA". It matches the Rfam family "Bacterial small subunit ribosomal RNA", at positions 355 to 776 of the family's 1533-position model. The record is from RNAcentral.